Molecule: ribosomal RNA, 379 nt
Filed under: uncultured cyanobacterium
Lineage: Bacteria; Bacillati; Cyanobacteriota
Description: bacterial SSU rRNA
Rfam family: Bacterial small subunit ribosomal RNA
Source: RNAcentral
CGAAAGCCUGACGGAGCAAGACCGCGUGAGGGAGGAAGGCUCUUGGGUUGUAAACCUCUUUUCUCAGGGAAGAAGCUCUGACGGUACCUGAGGAAUCAGCCUCGGCUAACUCCGUGCCAGCAGCCGCGGUAAUACGGAGGAGGCAAGCGUUAUCCGGAAUCAUUGGGCGUAAAGCGUUCGUAGGCGGCUGUUCAAGUCUGCUGUCAAAGACCGAGGCUCAACCUCGGGUCGGCAGUGGAAACUGGAUAGCUAGAGGUCGGUAGGGGCAAAGGGAAUUCCCAGUGUAGCGGUGAAAUGCGUAGAGAUCGGGAAGAACAUCGGUGGCGAAAGCGCUCUACUGGACGGCAACUGACACUCAGGGACGAAAGCUAGGGGAGCG